UGUCCUCCACGACAAUAGAGCAAAUUGGUGUCCGUUACAACCCAUGAGAUCCAUGACUUCUUAUAAUGUAUUAUUUUUGUGCUUGAGAUAAUUUAGUCUGAAUUGUAGAGUAAUAUCUUUAGUUUCUUAUGCAGUUUUAGAGAUGCUCAACAACAGAGCAUAGAAUGUAGAGUGAAUGUAUUGAACAAUACUUUCAAUUACAUGAAUGAAGUUUAUGUUGGCUUUGAUGAGGAUAUAGUACCAUUGAGAAUAAGCUUUUAAAGUAAAUUUGACUGUUAUAUCA
Long non-coding RNA from Prunus dulcis (almond), 283 nucleotides. RefSeq lists it as uncharacterized. The record is from RefSeq and is a predicted model, not a curated record. The transcript has 2 exons. Lineage: Eukaryota; Viridiplantae; Streptophyta; Magnoliopsida; Rosales; Rosaceae.